This 569-nucleotide ribosomal RNA is filed under the name uncultured bacterium. RNAcentral's name for it is "partial 16S ribosomal RNA". It matches the Rfam family "Bacterial small subunit ribosomal RNA", at positions 356 to 918 of the family's 1533-position model. The record is from RNAcentral.
UGGGAAUUUUGGACAAUGGGCGCAAGCCUGAUCCAGCCAUGCCGCGUGCGGGAAGAAGGCCUUCGGGUUGUAAACCGCUUUUGUCAGGGAAGAAAUCUUCUGAGUUAAUACCUCGGGAGGAUGACGGUACCUGAAGAAUAAGCACCGGCUAACUACGUGCCAGCAGCCGCGGUAAUACGUAGGGUGCAAGCGUUAAUCGGAAUUACUGGGCGUAAAGCGUGCGCAGGCGGUUUUGUAAGACAGAGGUGAAAUCCCCGGGCUCAACCUGGGAACUGCCUUUGUGACUGCAAGGCUUGAGUGCGGCAGAGGGGGAUGGAAUUCCGCGUGUAGCAGUGAAAUGCGUAGAUAUGCGGAGGAACACCGAUGGCGAAGGCAAUCCCCUGGGCCUGCACUGACGCUCAUGCACGAAAGCGUGGGGAGCAAACAGGAUUAGAUACCCUGGUAGUCCACGCCCUAAACGAUGUCAACUGGUUGUUGGGAAGGUUCCUUCUCAGUAACGUAGCUAACGCGUGAAGUUGACCGCCUGGGGAGUACGGCCGCAAGGUUGAAACUUAAAUGAAUUGACGGGG